AUAAUCUCCCUCUUUUAAUCAAAUGUUCCUUCUCUGCUGAUACUUUGAAGGAAAAUAACAAGGCAUCCAUGUUCUCAGAGGCUUUCAGGUGUUCUAAUACUUCAGCAUUUUGUGUUUAUUUUGUUUUUCAUGUUGUCGUCCUGCUUUGUCUUGUUUUUCAAUGUUUUGUUAUGUUGUACAAAUUGGUUUUCUGAAGUUUUCAUCCUGUUUUGUGUGUUGCUUUUUUGCACUUUGGUCAGCUGUAGCUGUUUUAAAACUCUUCCUGAUGAGUAGCUGUCAUGACUCUGAGAUGAACAUCAGAUCUGUGGAACAUCAUCUAGUGAGCUCUGCUGGGUGCAUUCAGGGUUUCAUCAUGGAGCCAAAGACUGUGUUUGGUCUGUAUGAUGGUCAUCAGAGUGGAGAACAAACAUCAGCAGCCUGAGAUGGUCCAAGCUCCAUGAUGAGGAUCAUCUUGGUGGUGGAGAGAUGUGGAUCUACAGCUGCAGCUACAUUUUGAUUCCAGUUCUUUUUCCAACUUUUGUAAAAUAUUACAUUCUUUUUUUCAUGAUUCAUGGCAGGGCUGCACAGUGGAUCAGUGGUUAGUACUGUCACCUUGCAGCUAGAAGAUCCCUGGUUCGCAUCCCGGCCUUCCUGGGAUCUUCCUGCAUGGAGUCUCCAUGUUCUCCUGUACAUGUGUGGGUUUUCUCCAGGUUCUCCAGCUUCCUCCCACAGUCCACAAACAUGCUGAGGCACCAGAAAAUAUUGUUUCCUUGACCCGCAGAAUGACAUGAGAAUUAAACGUUUGCUGGGAAGAGUCGGUGGAUUCAGCGUGAUGCAGAAAAUCAACAUGCUUCAACAAAGUGUAGCUGCUGACGGAGUUUUUCUCCUCCACUGGUUUGCUUUAAUGAUGUCAACAGUUGCAGUCCUGUUUCCAUUCGCUAACACACAUCUGCAGAGGAAACCAGACUUUUCCACGGCUGUCCAGAGCACAGGUAUUAAACCCGAGCAGCGAAGGGCCUGACGGGGGGCUGCUCACAUCUCCUCCUUCCUUCCUCUGUCCUGCCUGGCAGUGCCGUCGUAGCCAUGCGAGAAGAACCGUCGGUGCAGACAGCAGAUUACUGCCGGGCCAGCAGCUGACCUGCUGCUGGCCCCGCCUCCUUCAGGAAGAAGACUCUCUCUGUUGACCACAUGGCAGCUGACAAAGUUGAUGACGGCUUUAACUGCAGACGACGGCAGACGAAGAGCAACACAAGAGCUGUCGGGCCUCGAAAUGUGCUGGAGAGCUGUGCAUAGAGAUAAGAGGAAACGAGGAGCCUCUAGGAUGCAGCAGCUGAUGCACCUGCAGUCGGCCUCGCUGCAGCUCGUGUUGCUUUGAAAUGUGGUGAAUCAAAGUGAUGACUGCCAGACUUCACUAAAUACGACCCUCCAUCGCUGUUUCUGCUUCAGAAUGACUCCAGUGUUUAUAUUCUUCUCCUCAUUUGGCUCUCUCCCAUGUGGUGAACACAUUUCCAGACUCUACGUAUGUUAGCUGAUAAAUAGCCUACCGUACUGGACAUGGAGGUGGAAUUAUCUAUCAGUUAUUCUGGUUCAGUUUGACUGAAGCAGAAGAAUGAAAAGCAGUGGUUUAGUUUUUAUGGAGCAUCCAGGCUGAGACUAUUACUCACACUGGGGUGGCACAAUGCCUCCUUAAUGUUUUUCCACUAACCGCUGUGGGCCAAAUAUCCAUUUUUUGGUCCUUUACUCAUUUAAUUUGCUUUUACAGGCAAGACUACCAUUUGGAAGUACAUGGGAACUCAUGUGAGAGGCGUUUCUAUGAAGC
Molecule: long non-coding RNA, 1798 nt
Organism: Amphiprion ocellaris (clown anemonefish)
Lineage: Eukaryota; Metazoa; Chordata; Actinopteri; Pomacentridae
Source: Ensembl